UACAGAGGUGGCAAGCGUUGUUCGGAAUUACUGGGCGUAAAGGACGCGUAGGCGGUCUUAUAAGUCUCGUGUGAAAUCCCUCGGCUUAACUGAGGAACUGCACGGGAUACUGCAAGACUUGAGUUCGGGAGAGGGAAGCGGAAUUCCGGGUGUAGCGGUGAAAUGCGUAGAUAUCCGGAGGAACACCGGUGGCGAAGGCGGCUUCCUGGACCGACACUGACGCUGAGGCGCGAAAGCUAGGGGAGCAAACGGG
RNAcentral lists this ribosomal RNA (253 nucleotides) under uncultured bacterium. RNAcentral's name for it is "partial 16S ribosomal RNA". It matches the Rfam family "Bacterial small subunit ribosomal RNA", at positions 524 to 776 of the family's 1533-position model. The record is from RNAcentral.